CCUACGGGUGACAGCAGUAGGGAAUAUUGCACAAUGGGGGAAACCCUGAUGCAGCAACGCCGCGUGGGGGAUGAGGUAUCUCGGUACGUAAAGCUCUUUCGGCAGAAAAGAAAAUGACGGUACCUAACUAAGAAGCACCGGCUAACUACGUGCCAGCAGCCGCGGUAAUACGUAGGGGGCAAGCGUUAUCCGGAUUUACUGGGUGUAAAGGGAGCGUAGACGGGGCUGCAAGUCCGGUGUGAAAGCCCAUGGCUUAACCAUGGUACUGCACUGGAAACUGUAAAGCUUGAGUGUGGGAGAGGUAGGCGGAAUUCUUAGUGUAGCGGUAAAAUGCGUAGAUAUUAGGAGGAACAC
RNAcentral lists this ribosomal RNA (354 nucleotides) under uncultured bacterium. RNAcentral describes it as "partial 16S ribosomal RNA". It matches the Rfam family "Bacterial small subunit ribosomal RNA", at positions 338 to 709 of the family's 1533-position model. The record is from RNAcentral.